GUCCACGCCCUAAACGAUGAUGACUAGUUGUUGGGGGAGUUAAAUCCCUUAGUAACGCAGCUAACGCGUGAAGUCAUCCGCCUGGGGAGUACGGUCGCAAGAUUAAAACUCAAAGGAAUUGACGGGGGCCCGCACAAGCGGUGGAUGAUGUGGUUUAAUUCGACGCAACGCGAAAAACCUUACCUACCCUUGACAUGUACGGAAUCCUGCAGAGAUGCAGGAGUGCCCGAAAGGGAACCGUAACACAGGUGCUGCAUGGCUGUCGU
This 266-nucleotide ribosomal RNA is filed under the name uncultured bacterium. RNAcentral describes it as "partial 16S ribosomal RNA". It matches the Rfam family "Bacterial small subunit ribosomal RNA", at positions 793 to 1055 of the family's 1533-position model. The record is from RNAcentral.